CCUACGGGAGGCAGCAGUGAGGAAUAUUGGUCAAUGGGCGCAAGCCUGAACCAGCCAAGUCGCGUGAAGGAUGACUGCCCUACGGGUUGUAAACUUCUUUUAUCAAGGAAUAAAGUGAGGCACGUGUGCCUGUUUGUAUGUCCUUUAAGAAUAAGCAUCGGCAAACUCCGUUCCAGCAGCCGCGGUAAUACGGAGGAUCCGGGCGUUAUCCGGAUUUAUUGGGUUUAAAGGGAGCGAAGGUGGGUUGUUAAGUCAGCGGUAAAAAUUCGGGGCUCAACCCCGGCCUGCCGUUGAAACUGGGGGCCUUGAGAGGGCGAGAGGAAGGCGGAAUGCGGGGUGUAGCGGUGAAAUGCGUAGAUAUCACGCAGAACCCCGAUGGCGAAGGCAGCCUUCCGGAG
This 398-nucleotide ribosomal RNA is filed under the name uncultured bacterium. Its description in RNAcentral is "partial 16S ribosomal RNA". It matches the Rfam family "Bacterial small subunit ribosomal RNA", at positions 338 to 734 of the family's 1533-position model. The record is from RNAcentral.